GCACGGCAGGAGGGCCGUCCGGGGAAAGUUGUUUCCUGUCCCACUGACUUUGACGGCUCUAGGUCUGCCACAACUCCGGCAAAGUCCCAGGACCCUGAGCAGCCUCGGGAAGAGCUCUCGGGACCUCGGGGGAGUGAGGUGGCCCAGGCCUGGCACAGCUCAGUGGUGGCACGUCACAUCACACAUCUUCAGACCAGGCCUUCUGCAACGAUUCUCUGGCCUCUCUGCUGCUCUGCCUAGCUCCAGCCUUGUCCUGCGGAAGGUGCUGAAGCGGCCCUCAGUCUGCCUCUGGCCUCCCUCUGUUUCCCCCUCCACAACUGGGCAGGCUGCUCCCUUCACCCCAACACUCCAUGGCUCCCCAUGGCCUGCAAAUCAGAUCACAGCCCCUAAGCCUGGACUGCAGUGCUCCACUUGGCCUCGCCCACCUCUCAGCCCAUUUUCAACGUGACACACGCAGUUCCUUGGCAGGUCCUCUCAUGAGUAAACGGCCCUAGAAGACGUUUCUCCCAGGAAGAUGCACAGACGGCCAAGGCAGGCAGACGGCGGCAAUCAGCAGCUUCCACGUCCACCAGGGUGGCCUUGGGAAGACCAGCGCCCCCACGUGGGGCUGGGAGAGGCCGCACUGCACCCCAAGAAGCCAGGUCUCAGGAACAGGCACUGCACAGCUGGGAGCAGCAGGGACAGGAGAGGAGGGAGUCUGCUCAGAGACGUCUUCUUCAGAAACCACAUUCCCCAAGCCCUUCGCCAAAAUCAUCAAAACAUCCCACGAUCAGCUCUGCUUGACCGGGGAGAAGAGGAACAGGAAAUAUGUCAGGGGUGAGAUUUUAAAAUGUGUGUGAAUAUAAACAUUCAGCUCUGUAACAUAAUUAACAGCGCCCCAAGGAAAAUCCCGCGUAUGUCAGUAGGAAGCGUUCUUGAUGCGGAGCGAAGGCUACUUGGCGGUGUUCCGGCUCUCUGACUCUGAAGGGCCUGCCCGUGUUCCUUCCUGAGGCUCAGACAAGCCCAUCUCAGCUUUGCUGUCUAGGAAUUUAUAAGUGUAAGAGAGCAAAGAUUCAGUUCCCCAAAAGAUACCCUCUUGGUGGCCUGUGGUCCACGGGAGACCUCAUGCACCAGGGAUCCCCGUGCUGGGCCGGCCAGUGCUCAAGAGCACGGACCCUGAGGCUCCUUAAAGGGGCUGGAAGGGUCAGUGUGAUACCGUGCACCCACACUUACUCACCGAGGAGCUCUCGG
RNAcentral lists this long non-coding RNA (1230 nucleotides) under Homo sapiens (human). RNAcentral's name for it is "HSALNT0131659". Lineage: Eukaryota; Metazoa; Chordata; Mammalia; Primates; Hominidae. The record is from RNAcentral.